This 466-nucleotide ribosomal RNA is filed under the name uncultured bacterium. RNAcentral's name for it is "bacterial SSU rRNA". It matches the Rfam family "Bacterial small subunit ribosomal RNA", at positions 28 to 491 of the family's 1533-position model. The record is from RNAcentral.
GAUGAACGCUGGCGGCGUGCUUAACACAUGCAAGUCGAACGAAGCACUCUAUUUGAUUUUCUUCGGAAAUGAAGAUUUUGUGACUGAGUGGCGGACGGGUGAGUAACGCGUGGGUAACCUGCCUCAUACAGGGGGAUAACAGUUGGAAACGACUGCUAAUACCGCAUAAGCGCACAGGACCGCAUGGUCCGGUGUGAAAAACUCCGGUGGUAUGGGAUGGACCCGCGUCUGAUUAGCCAGUUGGCAGGGUAACGGCCUACCAAAGCGACGAUCAGUAGCCGACCUGAGAGGGUGACCGGCCACAUUGGGACUGAGACACGGCCCAAACUCCUACGGGAGGCAGCAGUGGGGAAUAUUGCACAAUGGGGGAAACCCUGAUGCAGCGACGCCGCGUGAGCGAAGAAGUAUUUCGGUAUGUAAAGCUCUAUCAGCAGGGAAGAAGAAUGACGGUACCUGACUAAGAAGC